Molecule: ribosomal RNA, 174 nt
Filed under: Triticum aestivum (bread wheat)
Lineage: Eukaryota; Viridiplantae; Streptophyta; Magnoliopsida; Poales; Poaceae
Description: partial small subunit ribosomal RNA
Source: RNAcentral
AUGUCCCCCAUGCUAAUGUUGAUAUCCUGGGAGCUUUGGAAGGAACGGAAUGCGAGGGUCUUCCGCAACACCACGACUCCUUCAACAAUCAUUGUGCGCCACAUUAAGGAUGAAAUCAAUUUGUAGGUAUUAGCGGGUGCUAAGCAUUUGGGUUUUGUUGUGCCGUGAGAGUGA